UCCACGCCGUAAACGAUGAUUACUCGAUGUUGGUGAUACACUAUCAGCGUCCAAGCGAAAGCGUUAAGUAAUCCACCUGGGGAGUACGAUCGCAAGGUUGAAACUCAAAGGAAUUGACGGGGGCCCGCACAAGCGGAGGAGCAUGUGGUUUAAUUCGAUGAUACGCGAGGAACCUUACCUAGACUUAAAUGUAGAUUGCAUAGAGUAGAAAUAUUCUUUCCCUUCGGGGCUAUUUACAAGGUGCUGCAUGGUUGUCGUCAGCUCGUGCCGUGAGGUGUCGGGUUAAGUCCCAUAACGAGCGCAACCCCUAUCCUUAGUUGCCAUCAGAUAAUGCUGGGGACUCUAAGGAAACUGCCGGCGCAAGCCGUGAGGA
Molecule: ribosomal RNA, 373 nt
Filed under: uncultured bacterium
Lineage: Bacteria
Description: bacterial SSU rRNA
Rfam family: Bacterial small subunit ribosomal RNA
Source: RNAcentral